ACGAACGCUGGCGGCGUGCUUAACACAUGCAGGUCGAACGGUGAACUCCGCUUGCGGGGGGAUCAGUGGCGAACGGGUGAGUAACACGUGGGCAACCUGCCCUCAGCUCUGGGAUAACUCCAAGAAAUUGGGGCUAAUACCGGAUAUGACCGCUGACCGCAUGGUCUGGUGGUGGAAAGAUUUAUCGGCUGGGGAUGGGCCCGCGGCCUAUCAGCUUGUUGGUGGGGUAGUGGCCUACCAAGGCGACGACGGGUAGCCGGCCUGAGAGGGUGACCGGCCACACUGGGACUGAGACACGGCCCAGACUCCUACGGGAGGCAGCAGUGGGGAAUAUUGCGCAAUGGGCGAAAGCCUGACGCAGCGACGCCGCGUGGGGGAUGACGGCCUUCGGGUUGUAAACCUCUUUCAGCAGGGACGAAGCGAAAGUGACGGUACCUGCAGAAGAAGCACCGGCCAACUACGUG
RNAcentral lists this ribosomal RNA (464 nucleotides) under uncultured bacterium. RNAcentral's name for it is "partial 16S ribosomal RNA". It matches the Rfam family "Bacterial small subunit ribosomal RNA", at positions 29 to 507 of the family's 1533-position model. The record is from RNAcentral.